CGAGUGGCGAACUGGUGAGUAACACGUGGGUAACCUGCCCCGAAGCGGGGGAUAACAUUUGGAAACAAGUGCUAAUACCGCAUAAUUAGUUGGAACCGCAUGGUUCCAACUUGAAAGAUGGCUCUGCUAUCACUUUGGGAUGGACCCGCGCCGUAUUAGUUAGUUGGUGAGAUAAAAGCCCACCAAGACGAUGAUACGUAGCCGACCUGAGAGGGUAAUCGGCCACAUUGGGACUGAGACACGGCCCAGACUCCUACGGGAGGCAGCAGUAGGGAAUCUUCCACAAUGGACGAAAGUCUGAUGGAGCAACGCCGCGUGAGUGAUGAAGGUUUUCGGAUCGUAAAACUCUGUUGUUAAAGAAGAACAAGUGUUAGAGUAACUGUUAACACUUUGACGGUAUUUAACCAGAAAGCCACGGCUAACUACGUGCCAGCAGCCGCGGUAAUACGUAGGUGGCAAGCGUUGUCCGGAUUUAUUGGGCGUAAAGCGAGCGCAGGCGGUUUUGUAAGUCUGCUGUGAAAGCCCUCAGCUCAACUGAGGAAGUGCAGUGGAAACUACAAAACUUGAGUACAGAAGAGGAAAGUGGAACUCCAUGUGUAGCGGUGAAAUGCGUAGAUAUAUGGAAGAACACCAGUGGCGAAGGCGGCUUUCUGGUCUGUUACUGACGCUGAGGCUCGAAAGCAUGGGUAGCGAACAGGAUUAGAUACCCUGGUAGUCCAUGCCGUAAACGAUGAAUACUAGGUGUUGGAGGGUUUCCGCCCUUCAGUGCCGCAGCUAACGCAUUAAGUAUUCCGCCUGGGGAGUACGACCGCAAGGUUGAAACUCAAAGGAAUUGACGGGGGCCCGCACAAGUGGUGGAGCAUGUGGUUUAAUUCGAUGCUACGCGAAGAACCUUACCAGCUCUUGACAUCUUCUGCCAACCCAAGAGAUUGGGCGUUCCCUUCGGGGACAGAAUGACAGGUGGUGCAUGGUUGUCGUCAGCUCGUGUCGUGAGAUGUUGGGUUAAGUCCCGCAACGAGCGCAACCCUUAUUAUUAGUUGCCAGCAUUUAGUUGGGCACUCUAGUGAGACUGCCGGUGAUAAACCGGAGGAAGGUGGGGACGACGUCAAAUCAUCAUGCCCCUUAUGAGCUGGGCUACACACGUGCUACAAUGGAUGGUACAACGAGUCGCGAAACCGCGAGGUCAAGCUAAUCUCUUAAAGCCAUUCUCAGUUCGGAUUGCAGGCUGCAACUCGCCUGCAUGAAGUUGGAAUCACUAGUAAUCGUGGAUCAGCAUGCCACGGUGAAUACGUUCCCGGGCCUUGUACACACCGCCCGUC
RNAcentral lists this ribosomal RNA (1319 nucleotides) under Apilactobacillus kunkeei. RNAcentral's name for it is "bacterial SSU rRNA". It matches the Rfam family "Bacterial small subunit ribosomal RNA", at positions 92 to 1398 of the family's 1533-position model. Lineage: Bacteria; Bacillati; Bacillota; Bacilli; Lactobacillales; Lactobacillaceae. The record is from RNAcentral.